This 121-nucleotide ribosomal RNA is filed under the name Culicoides imicola. Its description in RNAcentral is "partial 18S ribosomal RNA". It matches the Rfam family "Eukaryotic small subunit ribosomal RNA", at positions 1657 to 1771 of the family's 1831-position model. Lineage: Eukaryota; Metazoa; Arthropoda; Insecta; Diptera; Ceratopogonidae. The record is from RNAcentral.
CCUUUGUACACACCGCCCGUCGCUACUACCGAUGGAUUAUUUAGUGAGGUCUUUGGAGAUGAACUCUGCGAUAUCUUUCGGUAUUGCGGAUGCUUUUGUCAAAGUUGACCGAACUUGAUGA